AGCCUGGAAAUCCCUGCUUUGAGUUGNUCC
This 30-nucleotide non-coding RNA is filed under the name Homo sapiens (human). Lineage: Eukaryota; Metazoa; Chordata; Mammalia; Primates; Hominidae. The record is from RNAcentral.